GGAGGUAGUACAAUAAAUCACAAUGCGGGACUAUACGUCUUGCAAUUGGAUUGAGAACAAUGUACAACUCUUAUCGAUAAGCCAUUGGAGGGCAAGUCUGGUGCCAGCAGCCGCGGUAAUUCCAGCUCCAAUAGCGUAUAUUAACGUUGUUGCAGUUAAAAAGCUCGUAGUUGAAGUGUGGGUGAUCGCUGUUGUGAGACUUCGGUCUCUCGACAGUAAGUCACCCCCUUCCAGUAUCCAGUAGUGGGUAUUCAGUUCAGUUACUUACUAUUGUGUGUUGGUCCUUUACUGUGAGAAAAUUAGAGUGUUCAAAGCAGGCGUUUGCUUGAAUAGAUUAGCAUGGAAUAAUAAUUGAAGGCUUUCGUGUUCGAUUUGAUUGGUUUGUUCAUGGAAGCAAGGUUAAAAGGAACAGUUGGGGGUAUUCAUAUUCACUAGUUAGAGGUGAAAUUCUCGGAUUUAUGGAAGAUGAACAA
RNAcentral lists this ribosomal RNA (473 nucleotides) under Blastocystis hominis. Its description in RNAcentral is "SSU rRNA". It matches the Rfam family "Eukaryotic small subunit ribosomal RNA", at positions 460 to 942 of the family's 1831-position model. The record is from RNAcentral. Lineage: Eukaryota; Bigyra; Opalinata; Blastocystidae.